Molecule: ribosomal RNA, 501 nt
Filed under: uncultured bacterium
Lineage: Bacteria
Description: partial 16S ribosomal RNA
Rfam family: Bacterial small subunit ribosomal RNA
Source: RNAcentral
AUUGAACGCUGGCGGCAGGCUUAACACAUGCAAGUCGAGCGGGGGAAGGUAGCUUGCUACUGGACCUAGCGGCGGACGGGUGAGUAAUGCUUAGGAAUCUGCCUAUUAGUGGGGGACAACAUCUCGAAAGGGAUGCUAAUACCGCAUACGUCCUACGGGAGAAAGCAGGGGAUCUUCGGCCCUUGCGCUAAUAGAUGAGCCUAAGUCGGAUUAGCUAGUUGGCGGGGUAAAGGCCUACCAAGGCGACGAUCUGUAGCGGGUCUGAGAGGAUGAUCCGCCACACUGGGACUGAGACACGGCCCAGACUCCUACGGGAGGCAGCAGUGGGGAAUAUUGGACAAUGGGGGGAACCCUGAUCCAGCCAUGCCGCGUGUGUGAAGAAGGCCUUAUGGUUGUAAAGCACUUUAAGCGAGGAGGAGGCUACUUUAGUUAAUACCUAGAGAUAGUGGACGUUACUCGCAGAAUAAGCACCGGCUAACUCUGUGCCAGCAGCCGCCGUAA